This 451-nucleotide ribosomal RNA is filed under the name uncultured bacterium. RNAcentral's name for it is "partial 16S ribosomal RNA". It matches the Rfam family "Bacterial small subunit ribosomal RNA", at positions 354 to 796 of the family's 1533-position model. The record is from RNAcentral.
GUGGGGAAUAUUGCGCAAUGGGGGAAACCCUGACGCAGCGACGCCGCGUGAGCGAAGAAGGCCUUAGGGUUGUAAAGCUCUGUUUUAAGGGACGAAUGUCGUGGGGAGUAAUAUGCUCUGCGAAUGACGGUACCUUAAGAGGAAGCCCCGGCUAACUACGUGCCAGCAGCCGCGGUAAGACGUAGGGGGCGAGCGUUGUCCGGAAUUACUGGGCGUAAAGAGCACGUAGGCGGGAACUUAAGUCAGGUGUGAAAGACCGGGGCUCAACUCCGGGGUUGCACUUGAAACUGGGUUUCUUGAGGGCAGGAGAGGAAAGCAGAAUUCCUGGUGUAGCGGUGAAAUGCGUAGAAAUCAGGAGGAAUACCAGUGGCGAAGGCGGCUUUCUGGACUGACCCUGACGCUGAGGUGCGAAAGCGUGGGUAGCAAACAGGAUUAGAAACCCGGGUAGUCC